Molecule: long non-coding RNA, 608 nt
Organism: Mytilus californianus (California mussel)
Lineage: Eukaryota; Metazoa; Mollusca; Bivalvia; Mytilida; Mytilidae
Exons: 2
Source: RefSeq, a predicted model, not a curated record
UGAAAGAAGUCGAAUAUUCCGGGAAACUCAUUGCGUGUACGAAGCAAGGUCAUAUAAAUUUUAUUUAAUCAUUGUCACGCAUUUCCAAUUUUAAUAUUACAUAUACAUUACUACAAUUUUAAUAUUAAUCUGUAGUUGUAGCAUAUGUUUAUUUUUUAUUUUUGAAGAAUUGUGAAGAAUUACUAUGUCAAUGUUGGGAUUGACAGCACUGUUUAGUGUGUUAGUUGGUAUUUCGUACGGAUGGGGUGAUGUAAUUAUUUACGACAAAUCAGCACAGGCUAAAUGUAGUGAGAUCACACGAAGAGCAACUAGGGACUGCAGGUGGCCCGCGGGACUAAAUAUGCAAGUGGAUCAGGUCGCAGCUGGGGGGAAGAUUGCUGCAUACAAAAUCCAAUGGUUUAAUGGUCAUUGGAGUGGUUGGUACGUUCCAGGGUACAACGACAUGGACGGAAAAUUCAACCUAUCCAGCAGAAGAUGUUCAAUGCCAUUCAAAAAGAAAAGUCUAAGACGAAUGUGGUCUUAUUUCUAUGAUCAUACGCACAAAUUUAUAGUGUGCAAGGCUUAAAAAUGCUUGAUAGAAAAAAUAUAAUAAAAGAAAUAUAUAAUGA